This 222-nucleotide ribosomal RNA is filed under the name uncultured Pseudomonas sp. RNAcentral describes it as "partial 16S ribosomal RNA". It matches the Rfam family "Bacterial small subunit ribosomal RNA", at positions 1163 to 1382 of the family's 1533-position model. The record is from RNAcentral. Lineage: Bacteria; Pseudomonadati; Pseudomonadota; Gammaproteobacteria; Pseudomonadales; Pseudomonadaceae.
CCGGAGGAAGUGGGGAUGACGUCAAGUCAUCAUGGCCCUUACGGCCUGGGCUACACACGUGCUACAAUGGUCGGUACAAAGGGUUGCCAAGCCGCGAGGUGGAGACUAAUCCCAUAAAACCGAUCGUAGUCCGGAUCGCAGUCUGCAACUCGACUGCGUGAAGUCGGAAUCGCUAGUAAUCGUGAAUCAGAAUGUCACGGUGAAUACCGGUUCCCGGGCCUU